UGCGGACUGCAUACGGUAUUGACAAAGGCUAGUAGAAUGAGAUGGGAAGCUCAACCAUAGAACGUGAGAGUCGUGUAAACGAAAGCGUGAGUCAGCCAGCAGGAUCCAGAGUACCGCCGGACACGUGAAACCCGGUGGGAAUACGGGGGGACCACCCUCCAAGCCUAAAUACUCUCCAAUGACCGAUAGUGAAUAGUACUGUGAAGGAAAGGUGAAAAGAACCCCUGGCGGGGAGUGAAAUAGAACCUGAAACCUUGUGCCUACAAGCACAUAGAGCACAUCAACGUGUGAUAUGGUACCUUUUGUAGAAUGGUCCGGCGAGUGAAUGUCACUAGCGAGGUUAAGGACUUAAGGUCUGUAGCCGAAGCGAAAGCGAGUCUUAAUAGGGCGAUAUAGUUAGUGGUAUUCGACCCGAAACCGAGUGACCUAGCCAUGAGCAGGCUGAAGUGGAGGUAAAACUCCAUGGAGGGCCGAACCCACUCCCGUUGAAAUGGUAGGGGAUGACUUGUGGCUAGCGGAGAAAUUCCAAUCGAACUCGGAGAUAGCUGGUUCUCUCCGAAAUAGCUUUAGGGCUAGCCUCAAUAUACAUUACUGCAGGUAAAGCACUGAAUGGGCUAGGGGGCGAAAGCUUACUGAACCCUAUCAAACUAAGAAUGGCAGAUAAUGAAAUAUUGGGAGUCACACUGCGUGAGAUAAGUUUCGUGGUCGAAAGGGAAACAGCCCAGACCCACAGCUAAGGUCCCAAAGUACGGUUAAGUGGAAAAGGAUGUGGAAUUGCACAGACAACCAGGAUGUUGGCUCAGAAGCAGCCAUUCAUUCAAAGAGUGCGUAAUAGCUCACUGGUCGAGUGACUCUGCGCCGAAGAUUUAACGGGGCUAAAUCGUACACCGAAGCUUGGGAAUAUGCAUUUAUGUAUGUUGGUAGGAGAGCGUCGUAUGCGGGGUGAAGUCAUAGCGUAAGCGGUGGUGGACUGCAUAGGAGUGAGAAUGCCGGAAUGAGUAGCGAGAAUUAUGUGAGAAUCAUAAUGGCCGAAAGACUAAGGUUUUAGAAGGAAGGUUCGUCCGCUUCUAGUUAGCCGGGGGCUAAGGCGAGGCCGAGAGGCGUAGUCGAUGCACAUACGGUUGAGAUUCCGUAGCCACCUACGAUUUAAACUAAAGGACACAUCAAAAGGGCAUGACCCGGGCGUUGGUUGACCCGGGCGUAAGGGACCGAAAAUAAGUAGGGAAGCAUGCUUGGCUGGUGGCGAGAAAAGUUUAGUGUAUAUAAUGUAGGUGCCCGUACUGUAAACCGACACAGGUAGUCAGGAAGAGAAUUCUAAGGCCAUCGGGAGAAGCGUUGUUAAGGAACUCGGCAAAUUGACCCCGUAACUUCGGAAUAAGGGGUGCUCACGAGAGUGAGCCGCAGUGAAUAGGUCCAGGCGACUGUUUAUCAAAAACACAGCUCUCUGCUAAAUCGAAAGAUGAUGUAUAGGGGGUGACACCUGCCCGGUGCUGGAAGGUUAAGAGGAGGAGUGAGAGCUCCGAAUUGAAGCCCCAGUAAACGGCGGCCGUAACUAUAACGGUCCUAAGGUAGCGAAAUUCCUUGUCGGGUAAGUUCCGACCCGCACGAAUGGUGUAAUGAUCUGGACACUGUCUCAACAACGCACCCGGCGAAAUUGUAGUACCGGUGAAGAUGCCGGUUACCCGCGGCAAGACGGAAAGACCCCAUGGAGCUUUACUGUAACCUGAUAUUGGGUUUCGGUAUUUUAUGUACAGGAUAGGUGGGAGGCUAUGAAGCAUGGACGCCAGUUCAUGUGGAGCCAACCUUGGGAUACCACUCUUAAGAUACUGGAAUUCUAACCUGCGGCCGUGAAUCCGGUCGGGGGACAUUGUCAGGCGGGCAGUUUGACUGGGGCGGUCGCCUCCAAAAGAGUAACGGAGGCGC
This 1923-nucleotide ribosomal RNA is filed under the name pig gut metagenome. RNAcentral's name for it is "bacterial LSU rRNA". It matches the Rfam family "Bacterial large subunit ribosomal RNA", at positions 296 to 2309 of the family's 2925-position model. The record is from RNAcentral.